AUUUAAAUAGCUCAAUAAAGAGUAUAAUAUUGAAGAUAUUAAGAUGAUUAUUAAAAUCUUUAAAUA
RNAcentral lists this transfer RNA (66 nucleotides) under Calinaga buddha. RNAcentral describes it as "tRNA-Phe". The record is from RNAcentral. Lineage: Eukaryota; Metazoa; Arthropoda; Insecta; Lepidoptera; Nymphalidae.